AAUCAACGCUGGCGGCGUGCCUAACACAUGCAAGUCGAACGCGAAAAUGGAGCAAUCCAUGAGUAGAGCGGCAAACGGGUGAGUAACGCGUGGGGUGACCUGCCUUCGAGUGGGGAUAACGUUCGAAGGAACGCUAAUACCGCAUAACAUCCUGCCUUUUAAGAGGUGGAGAGCAAAGCCUGGGACCGCAAGGCCAGGCGCUUGAAGAGGGGCCCGCGUCUGAUUAGCAGGUUGGUGGGGUAAUGGCUCACCAAGGCAACGAUCAGUAU
This 269-nucleotide ribosomal RNA is filed under the name uncultured bacterium. Its description in RNAcentral is "partial 16S ribosomal RNA". It matches the Rfam family "Bacterial small subunit ribosomal RNA", at positions 32 to 286 of the family's 1533-position model. The record is from RNAcentral.